RNAcentral lists this non-coding RNA (476 nucleotides) under Pan troglodytes (chimpanzee). Lineage: Eukaryota; Metazoa; Chordata; Mammalia; Primates; Hominidae. The record is from RNAcentral.
GGUCCAAGUAGGCUAAAUCCAGUCCAGAGUUUGUGGACGUUCUUAGGGAAUAUAAAGCUAAGGGGCAGCAAAAUUAGUAGCACCAAAUCUGUGGAGCCAGAAAAUGUGGAUUCAAACUCCUGCUGCACAUCUUGUAUGCUUUUUGAUUUUGAAAGAGUUUUUUUUUCCUUUUUGAGCCUUGGCUUCCAUAUAUACAAAAUGAAGUUACUAAUAAUAUCAACCUUAUAGGAGAUGGCCUGGAUUCUGCCAUGUAAAUCAAAGAAGAGAGGGCCUAACUCAGCUGCCUAGCCUGGAUCACCUGGAACCCAUUAGGAUACAGGAUCAUAAACACCUCUAUUUUCCCUUCAGAGAGAGACCAGAACCACUGGAGUUAAGCUACCUGCAUAAGAGUUGAGUGCGAUCAGCUGUACUUAAUCUUUAAAUGUCCAACCCACUGAUAACCUUUGGUUUGCUUUGAUAACUAUGAAAUAAAUUCU